CCUACGGGUGGCAGCAGUGAGGAAUAUUGGUCAAUGGACGAGAGUCUGAACCAGCCAAGUAGCGUGAAGGAUGACUGCCCUCUGGGUUGUAAACUUCUUUUAUAAAGGUAUAAAACGAGGCACGUGUGCCUUUUUGCAUGUACUUUAUGAAUAAGGAUCGGCUAACUCCGUCCCAGCAGCCGCGGUAAUACGGAGGAUCCGAGCGUUAUCCGGAUUUAUUGGGUUUAAAGGGUGCGUAGAUGGGUUGUUAAGUCCGUUGUGAAAGUUUGCGGCUCAACCGUAAAAGUGCAAUGGAUACUGGCAGUCGUGAGUACAGUUGAGGUAGGCGGAAUUCGUGGUGUAGCGGUGAAAUGCUUAGAUAUCACGAAGAACACCGAUUGCGAAGGCAGCUUACUAAGCUGUGACUGACAUUGAUGCUCGAAAGUGUGGGUAGCAAACAGGAUUAGAUACCCGAGUAGUC
RNAcentral lists this ribosomal RNA (460 nucleotides) under uncultured bacterium. Its description in RNAcentral is "partial 16S ribosomal RNA". It matches the Rfam family "Bacterial small subunit ribosomal RNA", at positions 338 to 795 of the family's 1533-position model. The record is from RNAcentral.